CUGUCUGGGAAAGCCUUUGCGGCAUGGGAUGGGGUCGCGUCCUAUCAGCUUGAUGGCGGGGUAACGGCCCACCAUGGCUUCGACGGGUAGCCGGCCUGAGAGGGCGACCGGCCACAUUGGGACUGAGAUACGGCCCAGACUCCUACGGGAGGCAGCAGUGGGGAAUAUUGCACAAUGGGCGCAAGCCUGAUGCAGCGACGCCGCGUGAGGGAUGGAGGCCUUCGGGUUGUAAACCUCUUUUGUUAGGGAGCAAGGCAUUUUGUGUUGAGUGUACCUUUCGAAUAAGCACCGGCUAACUACGUGCCAGCAGCCGCGGUAAUACGUAGGGUGCAAGCGUUAUCCGGAAUUAUUGGGCGUAAAGGGCUCGUAGGCGGUUCGUCGCGUCCGGUGUGAAAGUCCAUCGCUUAACGGUGGAUCCGCGCCGGGUACGGGCGGGCUUGAGUGCGGUAGGGGAGACUGGAAUUCCCGGUGUAACGGUGGAAUGUGUAGAUA
RNAcentral lists this ribosomal RNA (492 nucleotides) under Bifidobacterium breve. Its description in RNAcentral is "bacterial SSU rRNA". It matches the Rfam family "Bacterial small subunit ribosomal RNA", at positions 194 to 696 of the family's 1533-position model. Lineage: Bacteria; Bacillati; Actinomycetota; Actinomycetes; Bifidobacteriales; Bifidobacteriaceae. The record is from RNAcentral.